UACGGGGGGGGCAAGCGUUGUUCGGAAUUACUGGGCGUAAAGGGCUCGUAGGCGGCCAACUAAGUCAUACGUGAAAUCCCUCGGCUUAACCGGGGAACUGCGUCUGAUACUGGAUGGCUUGAGUUCGGGAGAGGGAUGCGGAAUUCCAGGUGUAGCGGUGAAAUGCGUAGAUAUCUGGAGGAACACCGGUGGCGAAGGCGGCAUCCUGGACCGGAUCUGACGCUGAGGCGCGAAAGCGUGGGGAGCAAACAGG
This 253-nucleotide ribosomal RNA is filed under the name uncultured bacterium. RNAcentral's name for it is "partial 16S ribosomal RNA". It matches the Rfam family "Bacterial small subunit ribosomal RNA", at positions 524 to 776 of the family's 1533-position model. The record is from RNAcentral.